Molecule: ribosomal RNA, 443 nt
Filed under: uncultured bacterium
Lineage: Bacteria
Description: partial 16S ribosomal RNA
Rfam family: Bacterial small subunit ribosomal RNA
Source: RNAcentral
CCUACGGGAGGCAGCAGUGGGGAAUAUUGGACAAUGGGGGGAACCCUGAUCCAGCGACGCCGCGUGAGUGAAGAAGUAUUUCGGUAUGUAAAGCUCUAUCAGCAGGGAAGAAAGAAAUGACGGUACCUGACUAAGAAGCCCCGGCUAACUACGUGCCAGCAGCCGCGGUAAUACGUAGGGGGCAAGCGUUAUCCGGAUUUACGGGGUGUAAAGGGAGCGUAGACGGCGAUGCAAGUCUGAAGUGAAAGGCGGGGGCCCAACCCCCGGACUGCUUUGGAAACUGUAGGGCUGGAGUGCAGGGGAGGUAAGUGGAAUUCCUAGUGUAGCGGUGAAAUGCGUAGAUAUUAGGAGGAACACCAGUGGCGAAGGCGGCUUACUGGACUGUAACUGACGUUGAGGCUCGAAAGCGUGGGGAGCAAACAGGAUUAGAUACCCCAGUAGUC